This 477-nucleotide ribosomal RNA is filed under the name uncultured bacterium. Its description in RNAcentral is "partial 16S ribosomal RNA". It matches the Rfam family "Bacterial small subunit ribosomal RNA", at positions 28 to 506 of the family's 1533-position model. The record is from RNAcentral.
GAUGAACGCUGGCGGCGUGCUUAAUACAUGCAAGUCGAACGAGAAGUGAAGACGGAAACCUUCGGGCGGAAGGCUUUAUUUCGAGUGGCGGACGGGUGAGUAACGCGUGGGUAACCUGCCUCAUACAGGGGGAUAACAGUUGGAAACGACUGUUAAUACCGCAUAAGACCACAGCACCGCAUGGUGCGGGGGUAAAAACUCCGGUGGUAUGAGAUGGACCCGCGUUCGAUUAGCCAGUUGGCGGGGUAACGGCCCACCAAAGCGACGAUCGAUAGCCGAUCUGAGAGGAUGACCGGCCACAUUGGGACUGAGACACGGCCCAAACUCCUACGGGAGGCAGCAGUGGGGAAUAUUGCACAAUGGGGGAAACCCUGACGCAGCGACGCCGCGUGAGUGAAGAAGUAUUUCGGUAUGUAAAGCUCUAUCAGCAGGGAAGAAAAUGACGGUACCUGAGUAAGAAGCCCCGGCUAACUACGU